Long non-coding RNA from Trifolium pratense (red clover), 233 nucleotides. RefSeq lists it as uncharacterized. NCBI's taxonomy places the organism in Eukaryota, Viridiplantae, Streptophyta, Magnoliopsida, Fabales, Fabaceae. The record is from RefSeq and is a predicted model, not a curated record. The transcript has 3 exons.
CGAAAUUGCACUUCUAGCUCCUCAACAUGAAUUGUUGGUUGACCGGUAUGAUAGACUCAUCAUGCCAUAUACCGCCACAGAUUUGCAACCCCAAAAUGCGGCGACGAAGGCAAUCAAUAAUGCAUUGAAAUCCAAAUUCCAAGCUUCAUAUCUCAACUGGACGGAGGUCAGGGCAGAUGAACGUGGAUAUCAACAAUUUUGGAAUGGCUUCAGAUCGCAAGUAACUUGGCUAA